ACUACGGGUGGCAGCAGUGGGGAAUAUUGGGCAAUGGGCGCAAGCCUGACCCAGCAACGCCGCGUGAAGGAAGAAGGCUUUCGGGUUGUAAACUUCUUUUAUCAGGGACGAAACAAGUGACGGUACCUGAUGAAUAAGCCACGGCGAACUAAGUGCCAGCAGCCACGGUGAUACGGAGGUGGCAAGCGUUAUGCGGAUUUACUGGGUGUAAGGGGCGUGUAGGCGGGAGUGCAAGUCAGAUGUGAAAACUAUGGGAUCAACCCACAGCCUGCAUUUGAAACUGUACUUCUUGAGUGCUGGAGAGGCAAUCGGAAUUCCGGGUGUAGCGGUGAAAUGCGUAGAUAUACGGAGGAACACCAGUGGCGAAGGCGGAUUGCUGGACAGUAACUGACGCUGAGGCGCGAAAGCGUGGGUAUCAAACAGGAUUAGAUACCCGGGUAGUC
RNAcentral lists this ribosomal RNA (443 nucleotides) under uncultured bacterium. Its description in RNAcentral is "partial 16S ribosomal RNA". It matches the Rfam family "Bacterial small subunit ribosomal RNA", at positions 338 to 795 of the family's 1533-position model. The record is from RNAcentral.